AGUGAACGCUGGCGGUAGGCCUAACACAUGCCAGUCGAACGGCAGCACAGGAGAGCUUGCUCUCUGGGUGGCGAGUGGCGGACGGGUGAGGAAUACAUCGGAAUCUGCCUAGUCGUGGGGGAUAACGUAGGGAAACUUACGCUAAUACCGCAUACGACCUUCGGGUGAAAGAGGGGGAUCGCAAGACCUCUCGCGAUUGGAUGAGCCGAUGUCGGAUUAGCUAGUUGGCGGGGUAAUGGCCCACCAAGGCGACGAUCCGUAGCUGGUCUGAGAGGAUGAUCAGCCACACUGGAACUGAGACACGGUCCAGACUCCUACGGGAGGCAGCAGUGGGGAAUAUUGGACAAUGGGCGCAAGCCUGAUCCAGCCAUACCGCGUGGGUGAAGAAGGCCUUCGGGUUGUAAAGCCCUUUUGUUGGGAAAGAAAUCUUUCAGGCUAAUACCCUGGGAGGAUGACGGUACCCAAAGAAUAAGCACCGGCUAACUUCGUG
RNAcentral lists this ribosomal RNA (490 nucleotides) under uncultured bacterium. Its description in RNAcentral is "partial 16S ribosomal RNA". It matches the Rfam family "Bacterial small subunit ribosomal RNA", at positions 29 to 507 of the family's 1533-position model. The record is from RNAcentral.